GGCGCACGGGUGCGCAACGCGUAUAGAACCUACCCUGUACAGGGGGAUAGCCCGGAGAAAUCCGGAUUAAUACCUCGUGGUAAUUAGAAUCGGCAUCGGUUUUAAUUUAAAGUUUCGGCGGUACAGGAUGGCUAUGCGUCCUAUUAGUUAGAUGGUGAGGUAACGGCUCACCAAGGCAACGACGGGUAACUGGUCUGAGAGGAUGAUCAGUCACACUGGGACUGAGACACGGCCCAG
Molecule: ribosomal RNA, 237 nt
Filed under: uncultured bacterium
Lineage: Bacteria
Description: partial 16S ribosomal RNA
Rfam family: Bacterial small subunit ribosomal RNA
Source: RNAcentral